GACGGAGGAUGCAAGCGUUAUCCGGAAUUAUUGGGCGUAAAGCGUCCGCAGGUGGAUAUACAAGUCUGCUGUCAAAGUGCAGAGCUUAACUCUGUAAAGGCGGUGGAAACUGUAGGUCUUGAGUAUGGUAGGGGUAGAGGGAAUUCCCGGUGUAGCGGUGAAAUGCGUAGAUAUCGGGAAGAACACCAGUGGCGAAAGCGCUCUACUGGGCCAUAACUGACACUGAGGGACGAAGCUAGGGAGCGAAAGGG
Molecule: ribosomal RNA, 251 nt
Filed under: uncultured bacterium
Lineage: Bacteria
Description: partial 16S ribosomal RNA
Rfam family: Bacterial small subunit ribosomal RNA
Source: RNAcentral